AUACCCUGCUUCCAGGAAAAGCCUCUAAGCUCUAGAUUAUCAUUAAUCGUACCCCAAACCGACACAGGUGGUCAGGUAGAGAAUACUCAGGCGCUUGAGAGAACUCGGGUGAAGGAACUAGGCAAAAUGGUGCCGUAACUUCGGGAGAAGGCACGCUGGCAUUAGGUGAAGUCCCUUGCGGAUGGAGCUCAAGCCAGUCGCAGAUACCAGCUGGCUGCAACUGUUUAUUAAAAACACAGCACUGUGCAAACACGAAAGUGGACGUAUACGGUGUGACGCCUGCCCGGUGCUGGAAGGUUAAUUGAUGGGGUUAUCCGUAAGGAGAAGCUCUUGAUCGAAGCCCCAGUAAACGGCGGCCGUAACUAUAACGGUCCUAAGGUAGCGAAAUUCCUUGUCGGGUAAGUUCCGACCUGCACGAAUGGCGUAAUGAUGGCCAGGCUGUCUCCACCCGAGACUCAGUGAAAUUGAACUCGCUGUGAAGAUGCAGUGUACCCGCGGCAAGACGGAAAGACCCCGUGAACCUUUACUAUAGCUUGACACUGAACAUUGAGCCUUGAUGUGUAGGAUAGGUGGGAGGCUUUGAAGCGUGGACGCCAGUCUGCGUGGAGCCAACCUUGAAAUACCACCCUUUAAUGUUUGAUGUUCUAACGUUGCCCCAUUAUCUGGGGUGCGGACAGUGUCUGGUGGGUAGUUUGACUGGGGCGGUCUCCUCCCAAAGAGUAACGGAGGAGCACGAAGGUUGGCUAAGCAUGGUCGGACAUCAUGCGGUUAGUGCAAAGGCAUAAGCCAGCUUGACUGCGAGAGUGACGGCUCGAGCAGGUACGAAAGUAGGUCUUAGUGAUCCGGUGGUUCUGAAUGGAAGGGCCAUCGCUCAACGGAUAAAAGGUACUCCGGGGAUAACAGGCUGAUACCGCCCAAGAGUUCAUAUCGACGGCGGUGUUUGGCACCUCGAUGUCGGCUCAUCACAUCCUGGGGCUGAAGUAGGUCCCAAGGGUACGGCUGUUCGCCGUUUAAAGUGGUACGCGAGCUGGGUUUAGAACGUCGUGAGACAGUUCGGUCCCUAUCUGCCGUGGGCGUUGGAAGAUUGAAAGGGGCUGCUCCUAGUACGAGAGGACCGGAGUGGACGCACCACUGGUGUUCGGGUUGUCAUGCCAAUGGCAUUGCCCGGUAGCUAAGUGCGGAAAAGAUAACCGCUGAAAGCAUCUAAGCGGGAAACUUGCCUUGAGAUGAGUCUUCCCUGACUCUUUAAG
This 1250-nucleotide ribosomal RNA is filed under the name Providencia alcalifaciens. RNAcentral describes it as "partial 23S ribosomal RNA". It matches the Rfam family "Bacterial large subunit ribosomal RNA", at positions 1597 to 2825 of the family's 2925-position model. The record is from RNAcentral. Lineage: Bacteria; Pseudomonadati; Pseudomonadota; Gammaproteobacteria; Enterobacterales; Morganellaceae.